Symsagittifera roscoffensis is the source of this 3458-nucleotide RNA transcript. RefSeq lists it as uncharacterized. The transcript is spliced from 5 exons. The record is from RefSeq and is a predicted model, not a curated record. Lineage: Eukaryota; Metazoa; Xenacoelomorpha; Acoela; Convolutidae.
UUAGUUAGAUAGUUUUUACCAGAUUAUUAAAACGCUGAAGUAAACUGUUUCUGUCAUUUAGAUUCAAUUUGUAAACUGUAGAAGCUUUUAGUAUUAUUUUGUUACUGUUCCUUAACUUUUUGCUUCAUCGAACUUUGAUCAAUAUAUUUGACCGAAACUGGCAAUGUUGUCUGUCAAGAACCCCAUCUUCAGCUUUAAUCCCGCCACUCUCUACCCAGUGCCACCCAGAUCUAAACAAUUCCAGGGUGUCGAAACCUCAUUUUCUCCCAACAGAUCAAAAACUAGCAGAACUCAACCUGCACAUCAACAACACCAACAACUGCAGCAGCAACAUCCAAGUGUUUCGUUCCAACCGACUGUGAAUAGCUCCUCGUCUCUCUAUUGGGCUAGAACGACACCAUGUUUAGAGACAGUAGACGAACACAGACCGAACAGCUCUUCUCAUUUAAGAUCUGAUCACACUUAUGAUAGCAACUUUGCUGUUUCGGAAAGGCAGAGUCAGCCGUCGCAACUUGUCGUUUCGGGUAAUUCGUUUGUAGCGGCACCCUACGGUCGUAGUCGAAGAUCGAACACCUUUCACCAUCCGUCUAGGCCUCCGAGUGGCCAACAGCAGACGAGAACACAAAAUCAGUACAGUCCCCCCGGAGUAGAGUGCGUUUCCGCCCAUUCCCCCACACACCCCCAAGGAGGCGGCAAAGAAGGCAUCUUGAAGAAAAGAGGCGGCGGAUUUGACCCACAGAAAUUGACUUACAUUACUUCUCAGACCGGCAACAAUAGCAGUAACAAUAAACUCAAAAACAGCAACGCCGGCCCCUAUGAUCUAAAUGGCAACUGGGAACCGGCCCUCUCAACCACCCCCUCGUCAUCCAACUCAAUAAAUACUAUAACCCCGCUUUCAGAUUACUCGCCUCCCUUGCAAUCACUAAAUAGGGUCAGUUCACCACAUGUUCCAAACUACAACCAGACUGUAUUGAGUUCUAACGACUCAAGGCCGCAUUUAAUAGACCAUGCAGCACCUAUUUGGCAACUGAGGUCUAGAGAUUUACAAUUGGAAUCUUCGAGUGAAGGUUUGUGCAGUGACAGUGCGACUGACAGACUGCAGUCUAAAGUAAACGCGGCAUGGUUUCAGUCUAGCUUAGAUGACAUUGCUGACAAGAGAGACAAUAAAACGAUAAAAUCCCCUCGCCUCAGAAAUGGAGACAGUCAGCAGAUUAAUCAACUGAAUCAGAGCUCAUCUCCCAAGCAGGUGUCUCUUUACGACAACGUGAACUACCUUGUAAAACGAUCGAACACUGAGUUAUUUCAUGACAGAUCCACAUCUUUCUCACCCUCACCUAAAACAUCACCACAACUCCACCACCAACAAACCGAUCCUAAAUUCCAAAACAGUCGACAGCUUUCGUCUGAAAUUACUUCUUUAAAUGGAAGUGUCGAAGACAUUUGGGUGAAAAAACCGGCUGGUGGUAACCAUUCUGCUGGCCAAUCAAGUUCAAGCAUUUCCAAUAGUGCUGUGAGUAGUAACGCAAACAGCAGCGAAAACAUGGCGCCGCAGCGCAGCUAUAAACUAAUUGACCCGUGCUUGCAUUCUUCCAAUCCGCAAAAUCCGACUUAUAAAACAUCCGAUAUGAAACAGUCGCGCACUUCAGUUAGUAUUCAGAGCGACUCGUAUAACUUCGGCGGACCAAUCAGAAAACAGAGCGGCGGAAUGUGUGCAACACAGUCCAUUUCAAGCCUCGAUUCAUUUCAAGACGACUUAAACGGAAGCGGACUUUUGCCAUUGGGCGAACUUUGCGAUAGUUUUGCAAACGGUGUCGAAAAUAUUGUCACCAGUUACGAAAAGCUUGACGUAGAAGAAAAAACUGGAACUAUGAAUAAAGUUUUUAAAAGUUGGUCCGGAGACAAAAAUAGAAUAUGCAUGAAACCCCCGCCUUUUAAAGCCGCCGUUGCUUCGCUUUAUUCCCUCAGAACACGCUCUAAUAAUAACAGUUUUUCCGAUUGGUCAGUUAAUAGAGUUGGAAUGAACAACUUCCGAGCUACCUCCGUGAAGUCGCACAUUGAUCAAACGGUUUCCGUUCCGAGCACGCCUGUUCAGAAAAAUUACCAUCAUCAUCGACAGAGCAUUUCAAGCAGUCGACAAAAUAAUCACGAGAGAAUUUUCUCAACUCAAUCUGAAAUGAACGUUGCGAAUGUUUCAAGCAGCGUUGAGAGCCACGAAACGCCGAAUCACACGUUACUGAAAAACUACCGAUCGGAAUUGAUUCUCGCACAGACUUUAUCUUCAGUUGACAGUUUGGCCUUAAAACAGAGGUCAAAAUCCCAGGUCACCUCCAGAGAUGCUCCGAGAACCAAUCGUGCCAAGUCUUCGAGUGAUUUAUCUUCCUCGGGUGCUCUGACAAUCAGCGAUGAUUUUCGCAAGUCAUUUUCGUCCACGAGAAGGUCUAAUCUCAAUACAGAAGUGAGCGUUUCCAAGAACUCGACGAUCGUGGGAUCGCACAAAACAAAUACAGCAAACGAAAGAAACGAAUGGAAGAAGUCAUCAGAAGCAAGUGAAAGCAGCAUUGAAGCUUCAUUGAUGGUGGCGCUAAUGAUGGUACGAAUUACCAAAAAAUCGCCAAGGGAAUAGGAGUCAAAUGGGAAAUGGUAAAAUUAUACAGCAGCAGUCUUCAUUUCUGGAGAGAGCUAUGAUGGAACAAUGUGAACGAAAUCUACACAUGAAUGGUGUUGAUGUUGUAAAUCACACAGCACCGGCACAGCAGAAUAGCCGCCAUUUUGCCCCUCUUACCAACAACGUGGAAGCUAAAAAGAGUGGAAUUACAAUAAGCAAUGGGAAUGGAACAUAUGAAAAUGUGCUGCGUGAACAAUUGGUGGACGAGUUUUUGGAUAGUGUGAAGGCAGCGGAAGAAAUAGAAGAGAGGGGCAUACUAAUGGAGGAGACGGAGCUUCAAAAGCUGCAACAGACGAGGUGGAUGGGAUUAUAUUAGUUGAACUGAAUUCAGAAAAUACUGCAAACAGCGGUGCUGGUGGUAUUAGUGAACUAGUGACAUUUGAACAUGUGGCUCCUUCAGCAAUUGAUUCUACUCCCCCCAGCAGCGUGACAAGUGGACUUAGUUCACAGCAUUUAAUUGAAGAAGCGUCUGUGACACAUAUUGAUAGUAGUGGUCAGUCUGAGAGGCUUUCCAGUCCAUCAAAGGAGCAAAAGAAUUUGAUCAGUAUCGAAUCAGAUUUACCUUUACCUCUGACAUUGAGAGCUUCAAAACUGCACGCAAAUUCUGAUUCCUUCCACUGUGCCUCGGAAAAAGGCGUAGAGAGUGCAAACCAAUCACCUACCGAGAAUCCAGUUUAUAGUUUGAAAUCCGAAUUACUAAACUACCAAAACCUCAGAAAGCGAAACGACAUUACAGAACUUGACCAACCCGAGUUCGACUCGUCUUCUCGUGUUGUAAUCAAAUUGGCAAAUG